AGAGUUUGAUCAUGGCUCAGAACGAACGUUGGCGGCGUGGAUUAGGCAUGCAAGUCGAGCGAGGACACGUUGGUAGCAAUAUUAGCGUGAGUCGAGCGGCGUAAGGGGCAGUAAUACCUGGGGACGUACCCUCGAGUCGGGAAUAGCCACGAGAAAUUGUGGGUAAUGCCCGAUAACACUGAGAAGUCAAAGGCUUGCCGCUGGAGGAGCGGCCCAGGCGAUAUUAGCUAGUUGGUGGGGUAACGGCCUACCAAGGCAAAGAUGUCUAGCGGGUGUGAGAGCACGACCCGCGCCACUGGCACUGAGACACUGGCCAGACACCUACGGGUGGCUGCAGUCGAGGAUCUUCGGCAAUGAGCGCAAGCUUGACCGAGCGACGCCGCGUGCGGGAUGAAGGCCUUCGGGUUGUAAACCGCUUUGGUCCGGAAGUAAGGGUAACACUUGAACAACCGGAGAAACAAGCACGGGCUAAGUUCGUGCCAGCAGCCGCGGUAAGACGAACCGUGCGAACGUUGUUCGGAAUCACUGGGCUUAAAGGGCGCGUAGGCGGCCGAGCGGGUCGUGGGUGAAAUCCCCCAGCUUAACUGGGGAAGUGCUUACGAUACCACUGCGGCUGGAGGAAGGAAGGGGCAGCGGGAACUGUCGGUGGAGCGGUGAAAUGCGUUGAUAUCGACAGGAACGCCGAUGGCGAAAGCACGCUGCUGGUCCUUUUCUGACGCUGAGGCGCGAAAGCCAGGGGAGCAAACGGGAUUAGAUACCCCCGUAGUCC
This 769-nucleotide ribosomal RNA is filed under the name uncultured bacterium. RNAcentral describes it as "bacterial SSU rRNA". It matches the Rfam family "Bacterial small subunit ribosomal RNA", at positions 8 to 796 of the family's 1533-position model. The record is from RNAcentral.